RNAcentral lists this ribosomal RNA (253 nucleotides) under uncultured bacterium. RNAcentral's name for it is "partial 16S ribosomal RNA". It matches the Rfam family "Bacterial small subunit ribosomal RNA", at positions 524 to 776 of the family's 1533-position model. The record is from RNAcentral.
UACGAAGGGGGCUAGCGUUGCUCGGAAUCACUGGGCGUAAAGCGCGUGUAGGCGGCCAGGUAGGUCGGAUGUGAAAUCUGGAGGCUCAACCUCCAGCUGUCAUCCGAAACCAUCUGGCUAGAGUCCGGAAGAGGAGAGUGGAAUUCCUGGUGUAGCGGUGAAAUGCGCAGAUAUCAGGAGGAACACCUAUGGCGAAGGCAGCUCGCUGGGACGGCACUGACGCUGAGACGCGAAAGCGUGGGGAGCAAACAGG